CCAGCGCCCGCGGUAAUUCCAGCUCCAAUAGCGUAUAUUAUAGUUGUUGCAGUUAAAAAGCUCGUAGUCUGAAUCUUGGUUGGUGUUGAGCGUCCGUGGCUUCGGUCGCGUGCACGUAACACACUGGCCAUAUCCUUCUGAGGAACAUGGGUGCUUUUCAUUAAGUGCUCAUGGGAUUCCGAUAGUUUACUUUGAGAAAAAUAGAGUGUUCAAAGCAGGCGUUUUUGCCUUGAAUACAUUAGCAUGGGAUAAUAGGAUAGGACAUUGGUUCUAUUUUGAUGUUUUACGGACCGAUGUAAUGAUUAAUAGGAACAGUUGGGGACAUUCAUAUUCCAUGGCUAGAGGUGAAAUUCUUGGAUUCAUGGAAGAUGAACUACUGCGAAAGCAUUUGUCAAAGAUGUUUUCAUUGAUCAAGAACGAAAGU
Molecule: ribosomal RNA, 424 nt
Filed under: uncultured eukaryote
Lineage: Eukaryota
Description: SSU rRNA
Rfam family: Eukaryotic small subunit ribosomal RNA
Source: RNAcentral